GAUGAACGCUGGCGGCGUGCCUAAUACAUGCAAGUCGAGCGAACGGACGAGAAGCUUGCUUCUCUGAUGUUAGCGGCGGACGGGUGAGUAACACGUGGAUAACCUACCUAUAAGACUGGGAUAACUUCGGGAAACCGGAGCUAAUACCGGAUAAUAUUUUGAACCGCAUGGUUCAAAAGUGAAAGACGGUCUUGCUGUCACUUAUAGAUGGAUCCGCGCUGCAUUAGCUAGUUGGUAAGGUAACGGCUUACCAAGGCAACGAUGCAUAGCCGACCUGAGAGGGUGAUCGCCCACACUGGAACUGAGACACGGUCCAGACUCCUACGGGAGGCAGCAGUAGGGAAUCUUCCGCAAUGGGCGAAAGCCUGACGGAGCAACGCCGCGUGAGUGAUGAAGGUCUUCGGAUCGUAAAACUCUGUUAUUAGGGAAGAACAUAUGUGUAAGUAACUGUGCACAUCUUGACGGUACCUAAUCUGAAAGCCACGGCUAACUACGUG
Molecule: ribosomal RNA, 497 nt
Filed under: uncultured bacterium
Lineage: Bacteria
Description: partial 16S ribosomal RNA
Rfam family: Bacterial small subunit ribosomal RNA
Source: RNAcentral